Molecule: ribosomal RNA, 790 nt
Filed under: Salmonella enterica subsp. enterica serovar Richmond
Lineage: Bacteria; Pseudomonadati; Pseudomonadota; Gammaproteobacteria; Enterobacterales; Enterobacteriaceae
Description: partial 23S ribosomal RNA
Rfam family: Bacterial large subunit ribosomal RNA
Source: RNAcentral
AGACCCGAAACCCGGUGAUCUAGCCAUGGGCAGGUUGAAGGUUGGGUAACACUAACUGGAGGACCGAACCGACUAAUGUUGAAAAAUUAGCGGAUGACCUGUGGCUGGGGGUGAAAGGCCAAUCAAACCGGGAGAUAGCUGGUUCUCCCCGAAAGCUAUUUAGGUAGCGCCUCGUGAACUCAUCUCCGGGGGUAGAGCACUGUUUCGGCUAGGGGGCCAUCCCGGCUUACCAACCCGAUGCAAACUGCGAAUACCGGAGAAUGUUAUCACGGGAGACACACGGCGGGUGCUAACGUCCGUCGUGAAGAGGGAAACAACCCAGACCGCCAGCUAAGGUCCCAAAGUCAUGGUUAAGUGGGAAACGAUGUGGGAAGGCCCAGACAGCCAGGAUGUUGGCUUAGAAGCAGCCAUCAUUUAAAGAAAGCGUAAUAGCUCACUGGUCGAGUCGGCCUGCGCGGAAGAUGUAACGGGGCUAAACCAUGCACCGAAGCUGCGGCAGCGACACUGUGUGUUGUUGGGUAGGGGAGCGUUCUGUAAGCCUGUGAAGGUGUGUCGUGAGGCAUGCUGGAGGUAUCAGAAGUGCGAAUGCUGACAUAAGUAACGAUAAAGCGGGUGAAAAGCCCGCUCGCCGGAAGACCAAGGGUUCCUGUCCAACGUUAAUCGGGGCAGGGUGAGUCGACCCCUAAGGCGAGGCCGAAAGGCGUAGUCGAUGGGAAACGGGUUAAUAUUCCCGUACUUGGUGUUACUGCGAAGGGGGGACGGAGAAGGCUAUGUUGGCCGGGCGACGGUU